GAUGUGGAGGAGCUCAUGGGUCUAGGUUCUGAAAAAGUUUUGCUGAAGUGGAUAAAUUUUCAUCUGAAAAAAGUUGAGUAUGAGAAGCAAGUUACAAACUUCUCUUCAGAUUUGAAGAUGUAGGCGGCUCGACAAAUCUGAAUAUGGUUAUCGAACAAGCAGGGAAGAUGGACUGCAAGAGAUACAUUUCAGCAUAGGAUAUUGUAGGUGGCUCGACAAAUCUGAAUAUUGCCUUUGUUGCUCAAAUUUUCCAACAUAGGAAUGGCUUAACAGUCGACACCAAAAAGACUUCGUUUGCUGAGAUGAUGACGGAUGAUGCUCAAACUUCAAGAGAAGAAAGAUGCUUCAAGAGAAGAAAGUGAUAAGUACUACAAGAGUGAUUAGGGGCAAAGAUGGGUUCUGCUAGAAGUUCUUGAAAAAGUUUCGCCGGAGUUAGUUAACUGGAAAAUCGCCAAUAAGCCUCCCAUCAAGAUGCCGUUCAAGAAGGUUGAGAACUGCAUUCAAGUUGGCAAAAGAUUUGAGCUUCUCCCUUAUGAAUGUGGCUGGUAACGAUUUCGUGCAAGGAAACAAGAAGCUCAUACUCGCAUUUUUAUGGCAAUUGAUUGGGUAGACACGGACACAGACAUACUAAACUGGGCCAAUGGAAAAGUCAAGAAGGCCGGUAGAGCCUCUCAAAUGGAGAGCUUCAAGGACAAGAAUCUCAGCAGUGGGAUUUUCUUCCUCGAUCUCCUCUAUGCGGUUGAGCCACAGAUGAAGACAAGAGGCUGAAUGCUAAUUUACAUCAUCAGUGUGGCCAGAAAACUCUGGUGCUCCAUCCUAUUACCUGAGGACAUUCUCAAGAUGAACCAGAAGAUGAUGCUCAUUUUGACAGCAAGCAUCAUGUACUCGAAGUUGGGGCAGCAGGAGGAGGAUGGUGAAUCUGGGACUGAUGUUGCCGUCUGUAGCUCAGUGGCAGCAGAAGUCUCUGACUUGUCCAUCGACAGUGCUGUUCCGUCUGACUAGGAGGAGAGUUCUAAGUGAUCUUGAGGGUCAAACUAUAAAUGAUAGGCAGCUGAGGAUUGUUUAAUUAGUGACCCUUGUAAAACUGAGAGACCUUGGGCUCUGUUUUUGGUUGGAUGCAAAUGUUUCUGAGCAAACUUGUUUUUUUCUCACGACCACUUGUGAAUAUAGCCACGCUAUGUAGUCUUUGUUUCUUUGCAGGUCCAGCAUUGGCCAGGCCCCUAAUCCACUCCUGCAACUUGAGCCUCGGGUCACUUGAGAUUGUACAUCUCAUGUGUUUUAGAAAGCAAGGUGAGGAGAUGAACUUAGACAUGAUUUUGUUUGGAUCAAUUCUACGAAAUAUUACACGCUUUUAACUCUGCAGGCAUGUUAUGAAUUCAUCGGAUGAAGAGGGGGGGAUUCUAAUUCUACCAGAGUAUGUUGAUGAGUACUAUUUUGUUGAUCUUCCUUAUGCUGUUGCUUGGGAAGACUGACUGGAAAGCAACUAGUUUUUCAAUGGAAGUUUGAUCUUCCUUAUGAACAACUUGAUAUCUCUGUGCAUUCAAGUUAUUGGGUUUCUAUCAGGAUGGUUUUCCUUUUUCAUAGGGGCUCAUGUAUUGUGAAGUUGAGACAUUACUUUACCAAGAAAAUACAUACGCCUUUCACCCGAGAUGCUUACCCAGCAUUCAGAUGUGAAGUGUCUCCAAAGGGCUUGGGAAGAGGGCUGCUAUUUCUACAACCACACUGAGAUGUUGUGUAUAGUAGAAAAGACUCCACUGGUGUUUGUGCAAAGCAGAGGAAAACUUCUCCUGUGGCAUGAAUAUGGAAUCCAUACUUAUAUAUUCAUGGGACAGCCUCCGAGGAACUUGGUGAUGAUGAUGACAUGGACAUGUCUCUCCCAUCACAUCUCCUACGACAUUGGUCCUGAAGUCAAAUCACAUAAUAUACAUAGAUUUUGGCCAUUCUACUAAAUGGAAACUUUUGUUUGGGCAUUACACAGAUAUUUGAACCUUGUAGAUGAUGCAUGCAAUAGAACCGACAAGACGAAUGCUCUGUUUUGGAUCGAAACAGUUGGAAUUCCGAUCAUGAAACAAUGUCGGAAACGCAUUCUCUCGCACAAGUUCACACCAAACACAUUCAUCAGGUGGAGCGUAGA
Long non-coding RNA from Tarenaya hassleriana, 2134 nucleotides. RefSeq lists it as uncharacterized. Lineage: Eukaryota; Viridiplantae; Streptophyta; Magnoliopsida; Brassicales; Cleomaceae. The record is from RefSeq and is a predicted model, not a curated record. The transcript is spliced from 10 exons.